CGGGACACGUGGUAUCCUGUCUGAAUAUGGGGGGACCAUCCUCCAAGGCUAAAUACUCCUGACUGACCGAUAGUGAACCAGUACCGUGAGGGAAAGGCGAAAAGAACCCCGGCGAGGGGAGUGAAAAAGAACCUGAAACCGUGUACGUACAAGCAGUGGGAGCACGCUUAGGCGUGUGACUGCGUACCUUUUGUAUAAUGGGUCAGCGACUUAUAUUCUGUAGCAAGGUUAACCGAAUAGGGGAGCCGAAGGGAAACCGAGUCUUAACUGGGCGUUAAGUUGCAGGGUAUAGACCCGAAACCCGGUGAUCUAGCCAUGGGCAGGUUGAAGGUUGGGUAACACUAACUGGAGGACCGAACCGACUAAUGUUGAAAAAUUAGCGGAUGACUUGUGGCUGGGGGUGAAAGGCCAAUCAAACCGGGAGAUAGCUGGUUCUCCCCGAAAGCUAUUUAGGUAGCGCCUCGUGAAUUCAUCUCCGGGGGUAGAGCACUGUUUCGGCAAGGGGGUCAUCCCGACUUACCAACCCGAUGCAAACUGCGAAUACCGGAGAAUGUUAUCACGGGAGACACACGGCGGGUGCUAACGUCCGUCGUGAAGAGGGAAACAACCCAGACCGCCAGCUAAGGUCCCAAAGUCAUGGUUAAGUGGGAAACGAUGUGGGAAGGCCCAGACAGCCAGGAUGUUGGCUUAGAAGCAGCCAUCAUUUAAAGAAAGCGUAAUAGCUCACUGGUCGAGUCGGCCUGCGCGGAAGAUGUAACGGGGCUAAACCAUGCACCGAAGCUGCGGCAGCGACGCUUAUGCGUUGUUGGGUAGGGGAGCGUUCUGUAAGCCUGUGAAGGUGUACUGUGAGGUAUGCUGGAGGUAUCAGAAGUGCGAAUGCUGACAUAAGUAACGAUAAAGCGGGUGAAAAGCCCGCUCGCCGGAAGACCAAGGGUUCCUGUCCAACGUUAAUCGGGGCAGGGUGAGUCGACCCCUAAGGCGAGGCCGAAAGGCGUAGUCGAUGGGAAACAGGUUAAUAUUCCUGUACUUGGUGUUACUGCGAAGGGGGGACGGAGAAGGCUAUGUUGGCCGGGCGACGGUUGUCCCGGUUUAAGCGUGUAGGCUGGUUUUCCAGGCAAAUCCGGAAAAUCAAGGCUGAGGCGUGAUGACGAGGCACUACGGUGCUGAAGCAACAAAUGCCCUGCUUCCAGGAAAAGCCUCUAAGCAUCAGGUAACAUCAAAUCGUACCCCAAACCGACACAGGUGGUCAGGUAGAGAAUACCAAGGCGCUUGAGAGAACUCGGGUGAAGGAACUAGGCAAAAUGGUGCCGUAACUUCGGGAGAAGGCACGCUGAUAUGUAGGUGAAGUCCCUCGCGGAUGGAGCUGAAAUCAGUCGAAGAUACCAGCUGGCUGCAACUGUUUAUUAAAAACACAGCACUGUGCAAACACGAAAGUGGACGUAUACGGUGUGACGCCUGCCCGGUGCCGGAAGGUUAAUUGAUGGGGUUAGCGCAAGCGAAGCUCUUGAUCGAAGCCCCGGUAAACGGCGGCCGUAACUAUAACGGUCCUAAGGUAGCGAAAUUCCUUGUCGGGUAAGUUCCGACCUGCACGAAUGGCGUAAUGAUGGCCAGGCUGUCUCCACCCGAGACUCAGUGAAAUUGAACUCGCUGUGAAGAUGCAGUGUACCCGCGGCAAGACGGAAAGACCCCGUGAACCUUUACUAUAGCUUGACACUGAACAUUGAGCCUUGAUGUGUAGGAUAGGUGGGAGGCUUUGAAGUGUGGACGCCAGUCUGCAUGGAGCCGACCUUGAAAUACCACCCUUUAAUGUUUGAUGUUCUAACGUGGACCCGUAAUCCGGGUUGCGGACAGUGUCUGGUGGGUAGUUUGACUGGGGCGGUCUCCUCCUAAAGAGUAACGGAGGAGCACGAAGGUUGGCUAAUCCUGGUCGGACAUCAGGAGGUUAGUGCAAUGGCAUAAGCCAGCUUGACUGCGAGCGUGACGGCGCGAGCAGGUGCGAAAGCAGGUCAUAGUGAUCCGGUGGUUCUGAAUGGAAGGGCCAUCGCUCAACGGAUAAAAGGUACUCCGGGGAUAACAGGCUGAUACCGCCCAAGAGUUCAUAUCGACGGCGGUGUUUGGCACCUCGAUGUCGGCUCAUCACAUCCUGGGGCUGAAGUAGGUCCCAAGGGUAUGGCUGUUCGCCAUUUAAAGUGGUACGCGAGCUGGGUUUAGAACGUCGUGAGACAGUUCGGUCCCUAUCUGCCGUGGGCGCUGGAGAAUUGAGGGGGGCUGCUCCUAGUACGAGAGGACCGGAGUGGACGCAUCA
This 2305-nucleotide ribosomal RNA is filed under the name Escherichia coli. RNAcentral's name for it is "partial 23S ribosomal RNA". It matches the Rfam family "Bacterial large subunit ribosomal RNA", at positions 418 to 2708 of the family's 2925-position model. The record is from RNAcentral. Lineage: Bacteria; Pseudomonadati; Pseudomonadota; Gammaproteobacteria; Enterobacterales; Enterobacteriaceae.